Molecule: ribosomal RNA, 433 nt
Filed under: uncultured bacterium
Lineage: Bacteria
Description: partial 16S ribosomal RNA
Rfam family: Bacterial small subunit ribosomal RNA
Source: RNAcentral
AACGAACGCUGGCGGCAUGCCUAACACAUGCAAGUCGAACGAGACCUUCGGGUCUAGUGGCGCACGGGUGCGUAACGCGUGGGAACCUGCCCUUAGGUUCGGAAUAACUCCCCGAAAGGGGUGCUAAUACCGGAUAAUGUCUUCGGACCAAAGAUUUAUCGCCUUUGGAUGGGCCCGCGUUGGAUUAGCUAGUUGGUAGGGUAAAAGCCUACCAAGGCGACGAUCCAUAGCUGGUCUGAGAGGAUGAUCAGCCACACUGGGACUGAGACACGGCCCAGACUGCGACGGGAGGCAGCGGUGGGGAAUAUUGGACGAUGGGGGAAAGCCUGAUCGAGCAAUGCCGCGUGAGUGAUGAAGGCCUUAGGGUUGUAAAGCUCUUUUACCCGGGAUGAUAAUGAGAGUACCGGGAGAAUAAGCUCCGGCUAACUCCGUG